UUAAACUUGUCGGGUAUGUCUUAACAUGCAGUCGACGGCAGCAUGAUCUAGCUUGCUAGAUUGAUGGCGAGUGGCGAACGGGUGAGUAAUACAUCGGAACGUGCCCUGUAGUGGGGGAUAACUAGUCGAAAGAUUAGCUAAUACCGCAUACGACCUGAGGGUGAAAGUGGGGGACCGCAAGGCCUCAUGCUAUAGGAGCGGCCGAUGUCUGAUUAGCUAGUUGGUGGGGUAAAGGCCCACCAAGGCGACGAUCAGUAGCUGGUCUGAGAGGACGAUCAGCCACACUGGGACUGAGACACGGCCCAGACUCCUACGGGAGGCAGCAGUGGGGAAUUUUGGACAAUGGGCGAAAGCCUGAUCCAGCAAUGCCGCGUGUGUGAAGAAGGCCUUCGGGUUGUAAAGCACUUUUUGUCCGGAAAGAAAUGGCUCUGGUUAAUACCUGGGGUCGAUGACGGUACCGGAAGAAUAUAGGACCCGCCUAACUACGUGCCAGCAGCCGCGGUAAUACGUAGGGUCCAAGCGUUAAUCGGAAUUACUGGGCGUAAAGCGUGCGCAGGCGGUUGUGCAAGACCGAUGUGAAAUCCCCGAGCUUAACUUGGAAUUGCAUUGGUGACUGCACGGCUAGAGUGUGUCAGAGGGGGUAGAAUUCCACGUGUAGCAGUGAAUGCGUAGAGAUGUGGAGGAAUACCCGAUGGCGAAGCAGCCCCUGGGAUAAACACUGACCGCCUCAUGCACGAAAGCGUGGGGGAGCAAACAGGAUAAGAUACCUGUAGUCCACGCCUAAACGAAUGUCCACUAGUGUGGG
RNAcentral lists this ribosomal RNA (805 nucleotides) under uncultured bacterium. RNAcentral describes it as "bacterial SSU rRNA". It matches the Rfam family "Bacterial small subunit ribosomal RNA", at positions 29 to 825 of the family's 1533-position model. The record is from RNAcentral.